AGUGAACGCUGGCGGUAGGCCUAACACAUGCAAGUCGAACGGCAGCACAGUAAGAGCUUGCUCUUACGGGUGGCGAGUGGCGGACGGGUGAGGAAUACAUCGGAAUCUACUUUUUCGUGGGGGAUAACGUAGGGAAACUUACGCUAAUACCGCAUACGACCUACGGGUGAAAGCAGGGGAUCUUCGGACCUUGCGCGAUUGAAUUAGCCGAUGUGGGACUAGCUAGUUGGCGGGGUAAAGGCCCACCAAGGCGACGAUCCGUAGCUGGUCUGAGAGGAGGGUCAGCCACAUUGGAACUGAGACACGGUCCAGACUCCUGCGGGAGGGAGCAGUGGGGAAUAUUGGACAAUGGGCGCAAGCCUGAUCCAGCCAUAGCGAGUGGGUGAAGAAGGCCUUCGGGUUGUAAAGCCCUUUUGUUGGGAGAGAAAAGCAGCAGGUUAAUACCCCGCUGUUCUGACGGUACCCAAAGAAUAAGCACCGGCUAACUUCGUG
Molecule: ribosomal RNA, 492 nt
Filed under: uncultured bacterium
Lineage: Bacteria
Description: partial 16S ribosomal RNA
Rfam family: Bacterial small subunit ribosomal RNA
Source: RNAcentral